This 253-nucleotide ribosomal RNA is filed under the name uncultured bacterium. Its description in RNAcentral is "partial 16S ribosomal RNA". It matches the Rfam family "Bacterial small subunit ribosomal RNA", at positions 524 to 776 of the family's 1533-position model. RNAcentral also lists the same sequence under 1 other name. The record is from RNAcentral.
UACAGAGGGGGCGAGCGUUGUUCGGAAUUACUGGGCGUAAAGGGCGCGUAGGCGGCCAACUAAGUCAGACGUGAAAUCCCUCGGCUCAACCGGGGAACUGCGUCUGAUACUGGAUGGCUUGAAUUCGGGAGAGGGAUGCGGAAUUCCAGGUGUAGCGGUGAAAUGCGUAGAUAUCUGGAGGAACACCGGUGGCGAAGGCGGCAUCCUGGACCGAGAUUGACGCUGAUGCGCGAAAGCCAGGGGAGCAAACGGG